UGUAUGUAAUUCUACAGAAAGUACUUCACCUAAUGAAGAACAUUUAAUUCACUCUUCAAAUCAAAAAGUCAACCUGCUAAGAGCAAACUGGACAUCAUAAACUUUGUUGAGGUGAGGUUAUAGUUUCAUUUUAUAAAAUUCAUUUAGUAAGGCCUGAAUCAAAUUUAGUGUACACUGUACAUAUACAUCUUCUUAGUUUUGAGCUUUCCUAUAGUUGAGAUAAAGUUAUUAUGGGCUAACAAAAACUAUCUGCCAGUGUCUCAUAGUAUUUCGCUCUGUCUAUAACCCCAGGGGAUAGCUUGUUCAGGGGGUGGAAAAAGUAUCGGACCACGGGACCAUUGGUCCCAGAAAUUUUUUUGAGUUCCCAGAAAAUAUUUCCCCAAGAAAGAAAAAAUUGUAAUAAUUCAGAUAAAAGGAGAAAUUCAGAGGAAAAUUAACACCAUNNNNNNNNNNNNNNNNNNNNUAGUUUCAUUUUAUAAAAUUCAUUUAGUAAGGCCUGAAUCAAAUUUAGUGUACACUGUACACAGUGGCGCCGUGGCCGGGGGGGCCAGGGGGGGCCCUAUUGUUGAGACCCGUCGGAAAAUUGUCAAUGUUGUCGGAAAUUGUCGGAAAAUUGUCAAUGUUGUCGGAAAUUUUCAAAGUUGUCGACCGGGAGGGGGUGAAGAUUUAAAAUGUUGUCGUCCGGAAAAAUUUUUGGUCUGUCGGAAAAAAUUUUCGGUUUGUCGGAAAAGUACUGCCCUCGGCCCCCCCAAAAACAUGGGUCCCACGGCGCCCCUGACUGUACAUAUACAUCUUCUUAGUUUUGAGCUUUCCUAUAGUUGAGAUAAAGUUAAUAUGGGCUAACAAAAACUAUCUGCCAGUGUCUCUUGUUCCAUCCAUCAUAGUAUUUCGCUCUGUCUAUAACCCCAGGGGAUAGCUUGUUCAGGGGUGGAAAAAGUAUCGGACCACGGGACCAUUGGUCCCAGAAAUUUUUUGAGUUCCCAGAAAAUAUUUCCCCAAGAAAGAAAAAAUUGUAAUAAUUCAGAUAAAAGGAGAAAUUCAGAGGAAAAUUAACACCAUGACCUCAGAAAUGCAAUUAUAAGUGCAACCAUCUUAAUAGUGCGAUAGUGUAUAAAUGUACAUAUUAGACUAUAGAAUGAUGUAACAAUUGUUGUAUGGCAAAUGCAUUUUUAGCCAAUCUGGGACACUUGAUUUCAAAAUUUUCUGGGAGCUAGAGCAUGGAUCCACCUGAUAGUGCCCCCAGUGCCAAUUUUGCAUCUGUAUUUACUUUAGGAUCAGACCCUUGAUGCAUGUUAUCUAUAUUAGCUUUAUGUUAUUUUUUAAGAUUCUCAGUGCACUGAAAUAUUUUUUUUCUGUAAAUAUACAUGUAGCAUGACAUCCAGUUUGACAACUUAUUAGGUGUCACACAGUUACAUUGGCAGAGUGUCGAUUUACUUGAUCAUUUGCAGAAAAUUUUUCAAUGAACUUUUUGCGGUCCCAGAAAGUAAAAUAUUUUUUCCACCCCUGAGCUUGUUAGUGAAAACAUAAGCUGUUAAUUAAUGAGGGUUGUGUAGUUGUUACCAAAACUAUUUUUGUGGGUUUUUUUCCUCAAAAGGAAGGAGACACAGACUUGACUACCUGGCUGCAAAUGAGACCCAAUGACAUACUGUAUCAGGGCUGAUCAUGACAUGGAGCUAUUGGCAACAUUCGAGAAUAGCGAAACUGUAAAAGCCAUCUUUACUUCCUGGCGUUGUUCUACUGUACCUGCUCGACUUAGACUACCCAUCCAGACUCAGCAGUCUGACA
RNAcentral lists this long non-coding RNA (1785 nucleotides) under Paramuricea clavata. Lineage: Eukaryota; Metazoa; Cnidaria; Anthozoa; Malacalcyonacea; Plexauridae. The record is from RNAcentral.